UAAAGUCCAGUUUACAAGAGCCCAAACACAAGCCCAAGUACCUCAGACCCGUUCCACCGGUUACAACCUGUAACCUAGCAGUCCAAAUGCCAAUAACCCCAUAAGCCUACUACUGCCCUAUACCCAUUUACAUCCGAAGCCCAAAUCUAAAACAGCCCAAAAGGCCCAAAGGACUUAAGGGAAGCAGGUAACCCUAGGGCUUCUUAAACACUGUGGCACCGCAAGAGGUUCUAGAGGGUUCGGGGAGCGUCUGUUCAGUCCCCGAAAUCGAGGCCGCCAUUAAUGCGCUAUCCCAAGGGCCUUCAAUGCUCACCAGUGCCCCGGUCACCGGUCGUCCCUUUAUCCGGCCCCAAAUCGCGUCACAAGCAGCACGACCAUCACCGAGAUCUUCGGGUACCUGCAAAAUGAAAAAGGAAACACAACAGAUACGAAAAAGCAGAGCAAGAAAAAGGAAACUAAAUCAAGGGAAUCUCAACAGAUCAUGGUCAAAGAUACGGUGGAUACAGUAGAUAAGAAAUGGAAAGAAAUCGAAGAUUUCUUUCCCAGUUUAUGUAAUAACAGCAGUGGCUAUAAAAACCCGAAUCAAAACAAUGUAAAGGGGAGCUUUUUUGACAAAAAUAAAAUAUAUACAGAUAUUACCCACAGAAGAAACAAGAAACAGUUUAUUUCAGAAGGUGAUUAUUUAUCUUAUGUUUCACUUUUUUUCUUUUUUCCUUAGGCGAAUAUACAAAUUGUUUUUUAAAAAACUAGUAACGUUUAAAAGAAAAGGGGUUACCUGUGGAAGGACGAAGGUUUUUAAAUCUUCAGACCACCACGUACGGCGGCGCGUGAGGCGCGUGUGCAAACGCUGCACUGUAGCUGGAGGCCAGAGCCGGGGACCUUUCUUUUCCCCUCUGCAGAGAGUUUUAGGCCCUUUUUUU
Molecule: long non-coding RNA, 920 nt
Filed under: Gossypium barbadense (sea-island cotton)
Lineage: Eukaryota; Viridiplantae; Streptophyta; Magnoliopsida; Malvales; Malvaceae
Description: long non-coding RNA (GBAR_LNC006093)
Source: RNAcentral